AAACAAAAUGGAAAAGUUUCCAACUUGUUACUUCCGGUUGAAGAGAAUGUUUCGCCAAUGGUUCAAGAUAUUACGAAGGAUGUUUCGGAGAUCAAAAUAUUUGAAGAAAAGCCCAAGGAAGAACUUGUAGAAGUGGAACCUGAAUGCAUUUUCAACGAUCUUCGCUACGAAAGAUAUACGAUUCAGCAUCAAGAUCUUUUGUAAGUCAAUACGGGUCAAACACAAAAGGAGAAAAAAAAAUGUUCAUACAACUUAAAACCCGUUUUUUAAAUAUCAUAUCAACAUUAAAUCUCUUUAAUAAUUAUUUCGUCUGGAAAACUUUUUCUGGAUCAUAAAAAAAAUCAGCUUAACCGGAAUUUCUUUAAUUUUUCUCGCUUUUGAAUCUGAAAAGAUCUCCUUCUGUAGACUGUUCGGAUGGCAAGUAGUUGAGUUCAAGUGAUAAUUAAAAAUAUAUACAGAUACUUUUGAUACUUUUAACUCAUUUUAUAACAUCAGUCAUAUUAUCAAA
Helicoverpa zea (corn earworm) is the source of this 508-nucleotide long non-coding RNA. RefSeq lists it as uncharacterized. Lineage: Eukaryota; Metazoa; Arthropoda; Insecta; Lepidoptera; Noctuidae. The record is from RefSeq and is a predicted model, not a curated record. The transcript has 3 exons.